Molecule: ribosomal RNA, 513 nt
Filed under: uncultured bacterium
Lineage: Bacteria
Description: bacterial SSU rRNA
Rfam family: Bacterial small subunit ribosomal RNA
Source: RNAcentral
GAGCAGCCAUGCCGCGUGCAGGAGAAGGCCUUCUGGGUUGUAAACUGUUUUUAUCUGGAAAAAAAAGUGCCUUGCUUGGCAAAUUGGAGGGGCCAGAUGAAUAAGCGCCGGCUAACUCCUUGCCAGCGCCCCCGGGAAUUUCGAAGGUGCGGGGGUUUUCCCGAUUUUAUGGGGUUAAAGGGGGCGUAGGCGGAUGAAUAAGUCAACGGUGAAAGACUCCGGCUUAACCUGAGCAGUGCCAUUGAUACUGUUUAGCUUGGGUGUCGGAGGGGUACAUGGAAUUGAUGUUGUAACGGUGAAAUGCAUAAAUACCAUCAGGAACACCCAUAGCGAAGGCAUUGUCCUGGCCCACAACUGACGCUGAUGCACCAAAAUGUGGGGAUCGAAAAGGAUUAAAUACCCUGGUAGUCCACACCGUAAACGAAGAUUACUCCCUGUUAUGGUGUAUGCUGUAUUGGCCAAACGAAAGCGUUAAGUAAUCCACCUGGGGAGUACGCCGGCCGGGGUUGAACU